CGUACACUCCUACGGGAGGCAGCAGUGGGGAAUAUUGGACAAUGGGCGCAAGCCUGAUCCAGCCAUGCCGCGUGAGUGAUGAAGGCCCUAGGGUUGUAAAGCUCUUUCACCGGUGAAGAUAAUGACGGUAACCGGAGAAGAAGCCCCGGCUAACUUCGUGCCAGCAGCCGCGGUAAUACGAAGGGGGCUAGCGUUGGUCGGAUUUACUGGGCGUAAAGCGCACGUAGGCGGACUAUUAAGUCAGGGGUGAAAUCCCGGGGCUCAACCCCGGAACUGCCUUUGAUACUGGUAGUCUUGAGGUCGAGAGAGGUGAGUGGAAUUCCGAGUGUAGAGGUGAAAUUCGUAGAUAUUCGGAGGAACACCAGUGGCGAAGGCGGCUCACUGGCUCGAUACUGACGCUGAGGUGCGAAAGCGUGGGGAGCAAACAGGAUUAGAAACCCGAGUAGUCCCAUGA
This 454-nucleotide ribosomal RNA is filed under the name uncultured organism. RNAcentral's name for it is "partial 16S ribosomal RNA". It matches the Rfam family "Bacterial small subunit ribosomal RNA", at positions 330 to 800 of the family's 1533-position model. The record is from RNAcentral.